This 496-nucleotide ribosomal RNA is filed under the name uncultured bacterium. RNAcentral describes it as "partial 16S ribosomal RNA". It matches the Rfam family "Bacterial small subunit ribosomal RNA", at positions 28 to 507 of the family's 1533-position model. The record is from RNAcentral.
GAUGAACGCUGGCGGCGUGCCUAAUACAUGCCAGUCGAGCGAACGGACGAGAAGCUUGCUUCUCUGAUGUUAGCGGCGGACGGGUGAGUAACACGUGGAUAACCUACCUAUAAGACUGGGAAACUUCGGGAAACCGGAGCUAAUACCGGAUAAUAUUUUGAACCGCAUGGUUCAAAAGUGAAAGACGGUCUUGCUGUCACUUAUAGAUGGAUCCGCGCUGCAUUAGCUAGUUGGUAAGGUAACGGCUUACCAAGGCAACGAUGCAUAGCCGACCUGAGAGGGUGAUCGGCCACACUGGAACUGAGACACGGUCCAGACUCCUACGGGAGGCAGCAGUAGGGAAUCUUCCGCAAUGGGCGAAAGCCUGACGGAGCAACGCCGCGUGAGUGAUGAAGGUCUUCGGAUCGUAAAACUCUGUUAUUAGGGAAGAACAUAUGUGUAAGUAACUGUGCACAUCUUGACGGUACCUAAUCAGAAAGCCACGGCUAACUACGUG